GUAAAUAUAGUUUAAAAAAAACGCUAGAUUGUGAAUCUAAUAAUAGAAGCCCACACCUUCUUAUUUACC
Molecule: transfer RNA, 69 nt
Filed under: Tragulus kanchil
Lineage: Eukaryota; Metazoa; Chordata; Mammalia; Artiodactyla; Tragulidae
Description: tRNA-His
Rfam family: tRNA
About the family: Transfer RNA (tRNA) molecules are approximately 80 nucleotides in length. Their secondary structure includes four short double-helical elements and three loops (D, anti-codon, and T loops).
Source: RNAcentral